UUUCCGUAGGUGAACCUGCGGAAGGAUCAUUAUCGAAUAACAAAUGUGCGGCAGCUGGCCCUCAGCCGAAAGUGCGUGCCCGGCCCAGUCCCCUCACACACAUCCACUUCAUCCCGAUAUCAGCCACCGCAGGGUUCCCCUUUACGGGUGUUUGUGAAGCGUCUUACUUUUUCGCGCAAACUCUAAAUCCAGAAAAGAAUGUAUUGUUUGUUUUUGCGUAACGGAGCUAAAUACAACUUUCAACAACGGAUCUCUUGGCUCUCGCAUCGAUGAAGAACA
This 279-nucleotide unclassified non-coding RNA is filed under the name plant metagenome. RNAcentral's name for it is "partial contains small subunit ribosomal RNA, internal transcribed spacer 1, and 5.8S ribosomal RNA". The stretch from base 235 to 279 matches the Rfam family "5.8S ribosomal RNA", at positions 1 to 45 of the family's 154-position model. The record is from RNAcentral.